Molecule: long non-coding RNA, 909 nt
Filed under: Mustela putorius furo (domestic ferret)
Lineage: Eukaryota; Metazoa; Chordata; Mammalia; Carnivora; Mustelidae
Description: lncRNA (ENSMPUG00000023960.1)
Source: RNAcentral
UUGAGUCAAAGACCGGGGCGCACAAGUGAGGCAGGCCUCUCGCCAGUGGACGCCUGGAGAGGGCUGAGCGGUUGCCAUCCCUGCCCUGUGGGGGAGACUAGUGGGGUCCUUUAGGGAGAGCUGGCCACCCUGGGUGUCUGACCGAGGCCGAUACGGAACAGAGGCCCUGCCAGCUAGAGGUGGACAUGUCACAGGAGUGAGAAACCCACCCUUCUGUUCUUAAGCCACUUGUUGGCAACUUUCUCAGGCAGAGAAUGAAGACUUUAGGCUCGUCACAGGCCCUUGACUCUGCUGUAGACAAUGUGUGAGAGAAGGCAUGCUUGUGGCUGUGUUCUGAUGAAACUGUAUUUAUAAAGUGAAGUGGCCAGCUGGCAGGCCUUAAAUUUUUCACCCCAUUCGAAACCUUGAGGACUGGGGGUUUGUGUGUUUUCGCACCAUGACCUGGCCACACUGACGAUGGCAGGUCCAUUCGUGACCUUGCCUGUCUAGGUAAUGGAACCUGCCUAUGUGUGUGGAAUGCAUCUGACUUUGUCUGAAGAUCUGUGAUUUUUCCUCUUGGAUCCUCUUCCCACCCUUCUCCCAGCUCUCUGUCCUGGGAUAUUGGCCUUUAGGGACCUUGUCGGUGACUUUGCCUGGAAAGGUGACUUCACUCCUCUCGGGCGUCCAGCUGGAUCUGGCCCGUGGAGAGCACUGUCAGGACAGGCGAGGACAGAAGAUGAGAUCCACAGCGAUGCCUGCCUCCGAGCCAGCCUGGUGAAGUCAGCACCAGCAAAUGGCCCACACUCGCCAUGCCCUCCACAUGGCCCAGAAGAUGGGGCAUCUGGACGUGAACAGCCCUUGGGCAGGGUGGGGACUGGAGUGCUCCCCACCAACCUGGGCCCCUGCAAGAAUAAAGAUUUCACAAAUGAG